GCGGACGUGGGGCAUGGCGCCCCACUGCAUUGUAUGAUUUUUACUGGGUCAAUGUCGGCAGUUGAACGGGGUUCGACUCCCCGCGUCCGCA
This is a non-coding RNA of Mycena rosella, 91 nucleotides long. Lineage: Eukaryota; Fungi; Basidiomycota; Agaricomycetes; Agaricales; Mycenaceae. The record is from the annotation of a GenBank genome assembly.